RNAcentral lists this ribosomal RNA (705 nucleotides) under uncultured stramenopile. RNAcentral describes it as "SSU rRNA". It matches the Rfam family "Eukaryotic small subunit ribosomal RNA", at positions 584 to 1286 of the family's 1831-position model. The record is from RNAcentral.
UCCAGCUCCAAUAGCGUAUAUUAAAGUUGCUGCAGUUAAAAAGCUCGUAGUUGGAUUUGGGACUGGAGUCGCUCGGUCGACCGUGAGGUCUGUUACUGAGCGGCUCUGUCAUUACAUUUCUCAGAGACCUGUCGUGUACUUAACUGUGCGCGGCAUGGGAUUUGGGACGUUUACUUUGAAAAAAUUAGAGUGUUCAAAACAGGCUUUUCAAGCCCGAAUACAUGAGCAUGGAAUAAUGGAAUAGGACCGCGGUUCUAUUUUGUUGGUUUCUACGACCGCAGUAAUGAUUAAGAGGGACAAUUGGGGGCAUCCGUAUUUCGUUGUCAGAGGUGAAAUUCUUGGAUUUACGAAAGACGAACAACUGCGAAAGCAUUUGCCAAGAGUGUUUUCAUUAAUCAAGAACGAAAGUUAGAGGAUCGAAGACGAUCAGAUACCGUCCUAGUUCUAACCAUAAACGAUGUCGACUAGGGAUUGGCGGGCGUUAAUUAACACGACCCCGUCAGCACCUUACGGGAAACCAAAGUUUUUGGAUUCCGGGGGAAGUAUGGUUGCAAAACUGAAACUUAAAGGAAUUGACGGAAGGGCACCACCAGGAGUGGAGCCUGCGGCUUAAUUUGACUCAACACGGGAAAACUCACCAGGUCCAGACAUAGUAAGGAUUGACAGGUUGAGAGCCCUUUCUUGAUUCUAUGGGUGGUGGAGCUG